UACGUAGGGUGCGAGCGUUGUCCGGAAUUAUUGGGCGUAAAGAGCUUGUAGGCGGUUUGUCGCGUCUGCCGUGAAAAUUCGAGGCUCAACCUCGAACUUGCGGUGGGUACGGGCAGACUAGAGUGUGGUAGGGGAGACUGGAAUUCCUGGUGUAGCGGUGAAAUGCGUAGAUAUUGGGAAGAACACCGGUGGCGAAGGCGGCUCACUGGCUCAUUUCUGACGCUCAGGCGCGACAGCGUGGGGAUCAAACAGG
This 253-nucleotide ribosomal RNA is filed under the name uncultured bacterium. RNAcentral describes it as "partial 16S ribosomal RNA". It matches the Rfam family "Bacterial small subunit ribosomal RNA", at positions 524 to 776 of the family's 1533-position model. The record is from RNAcentral.